Small nuclear RNA from Lactuca sativa (garden lettuce), 118 nucleotides. RefSeq annotates it as U5 spliceosomal RNA. The record is from RefSeq and is a predicted model, not a curated record. NCBI's taxonomy places the organism in Eukaryota, Viridiplantae, Streptophyta, Magnoliopsida, Asterales, Asteraceae.
AGCCAUGCAGUGAACACAAAGCGAACUAUUCUUUCGCCUUUUACUAAAGAAUACCGUGUGUUCGCUGUAUUCAGUGGCAUACUCUUAUUUUUGGAGAGUCUAUUCUUAUUGAAGAGCU